RNAcentral lists this ribosomal RNA (468 nucleotides) under uncultured bacterium. RNAcentral describes it as "partial 16S ribosomal RNA". It matches the Rfam family "Bacterial small subunit ribosomal RNA", at positions 28 to 507 of the family's 1533-position model. The record is from RNAcentral.
GACGAACGCUGGCGGCGUGCUUAACACAUGCAAGUCGAACGGAAAGGCCCUGCUUUUGUGGGGUGCUCGAGUGGCGAACGGGUGAGUAACACGUGAGUAACCUGCCCUUGACUUUGGGAUAACUUCAGGAAACUGGGGCUAAUACCGGAUAGGAGCUCCUGCUGCAUGGUGGGGGUUGGAAAGUUUCGGCGGUUGGGGAUGGACUCGCGGCUUAUCAGCUUGUUGGUGGGGUAGUGGCUUACUAAGGCUUUGACGGGUAGCCGGCCUGAGAGGGUGACCGGCCACAUUGGGACUGAGAUACGGCCCAGACUCCUACGGGAGGCAGCAGUGGGGAAUAUUGCACAAUGGGCGGAAGCCUGAUGCAGCAACGCCGCGUGCGGGAUGGCGGCCUUCGGGUUGUAAACCGCUUUCGCCUGUGACGAAGCGUGAGUGACGGUAAUGGGUAAAGAAGCACCGGCUAACUACGUG